Long non-coding RNA from Cucurbita maxima (winter squash), 1361 nucleotides. RefSeq lists it as uncharacterized. The record is from RefSeq and is a predicted model, not a curated record. Lineage: Eukaryota; Viridiplantae; Streptophyta; Magnoliopsida; Cucurbitales; Cucurbitaceae. The transcript has 2 exons.
CGAUAUGAUGUGGGCGCUUUCCGAACACUUCCCCCGCGCAGUUCAACCGCCAUGGCAGUGGCCACACCGAAGAGCUUGGAUUCGUGUCCCAUUCAUCGCCUUCUUCCUUAAAUUCGUUCUCAAUCCUCGGCCAACCGACGAGAGAAUGCGAGGCAGGAUGAGUUUUCUCCACCAAUUUCAAGAAGGUCUGCAAUUUUGACCUCUUCGCUACCUUUCAUUCUCGUUUCUGUAUAUCCGUCCGAGGCAAUAGAGAUAAGGAACAAGAGGACCAUUCCUCUCGAGGACUGUAUCACCAGCGGUUAGUAAUCUCAGUCCUUCGUGUAUCACUAUCUUCUGUAUUUAUUCUCAAUACUUUCAAUAAGUAGAAGAUUCCAAAUCUUGAUUCAGUAAUUGCGUCAUAUUCUUCCAACUCCACUGAAAUGAAAUGGAAGUUUGAUUUGCUAAGAGUGAGUGCGUUGUGAAAUUUAUAGCACUACUAUGAUAAUAUGAUAACAGUUACGAUAGAUCCUCCACAAUGGUAUGAUAUUGUCUAUUUUGAGUCUAAGCUCUCGUAGCUCAGCUUUUGAGUCACCUAUGACUAUACCUUCUAGGCUCACAACUCCUUUGUUCGACAUUUGAGCAUUCUAUUAUCAUGGCUAAAUUAAGUGCAUGACUCUGGUACAAUGUUAGCAAGCAUGAACCCUCUACAAUGGUAUGCUAUUAUCCACUUCAAGCAUAAGCUUUCACGGUUUUAUUUUUGGUUUUCCCCAAGAACUUCAUAUGUGAGGCUACUCCUCUCAAUAAUCCUUACACGGGAGAUCUAGGGAGAUCUAGGAUGUUGGUUGAUAAAAGAAAAAUUAUAUCCAUCGAAAUCUCACAUUUAAUGGUUGGAGUUCUGGAUUAUGAGGAGCAUUUCUAUGUAGCUUUCUUUGAUUCACAUUGGCAAUGACAUUUUGGUUGCCGAAAAUGGACUGAAUUACUAUGAUGUGGAGGAGGGAAAGGGUCCUGUGGCAGGGAAGGGUUCCGCAGUUCAGGCAGCCUGGCGCUACUUUUGAAUUGAACAUCGAGCUUUUGGAAGUGGUGCGGCCGGAAAAAGGAGGGGCCUGACAUAAUUCGAGAGCCAGGUUUUCUAUCCCCACUGAACUAGAAGUUGAGCAUUAGCUGACUGAUUGAUUCUUUUGUUAGGACGAGGAGAAGCACGAGCAGGUACUGGGUAAGGGGGAGUUUUUUUUUUUUUUCAAUGGAACCUUCAGUUCUUUACUUGCUGUUGUUCUAAACAUGAUGAAAUUGUUAAGACCAGUGGUUAGGUAUGGACUCAUUGCGCCCCUCUAAAAUGUAACAAAAGCUCCACUCUUGUUAGUGCCAAACGCACCAAAUUUCUA